RNAcentral lists this ribosomal RNA (433 nucleotides) under uncultured bacterium. RNAcentral describes it as "partial 16S ribosomal RNA". It matches the Rfam family "Bacterial small subunit ribosomal RNA", at positions 29 to 507 of the family's 1533-position model. The record is from RNAcentral.
AACGAACGCUGGCGGCAUGCCUAACACAUGUAAGUCGAACGAAGGCUUCGGCCUUAGUGGCGCACGGGUGCGUAACGCGUGGGAAUCUGCCCUUUGGUUCGGAAUAACAGCUGGAAACGGCUGCUAAUACCGGAUGAUGACGAAAGUCCAAAGAUUUAUCGCCAGAGGAUGAGCCCGCGUUGGAUUAGGUAGUUGGUGGGGUAAAGGCCUACCAAGCCGACGAUCCAUAGCUGGUCUGAGAGGAUGAUCAGCCACACUGGGACUGAGACACGGCCCAGACUCCUACGGGAGGCAGCAGUGGGGAAUAUUGGACAAUGGGCGCAAGCCUGAUCCAGCAAUGCCGCGUGAGUGAUGAAGGCCCUAGGGUUGUAAAGCUCUUUUACCCGGGAAGAUAAUGACUGUACCGGGAGAAUAAGCCCCGGCUAACUCCGUG